Long non-coding RNA from Macaca mulatta (Rhesus monkey), 2509 nucleotides. The record is from Ensembl. NCBI's taxonomy places the organism in Eukaryota, Metazoa, Chordata, Mammalia, Primates, Cercopithecidae.
CCUGGAUACAAGGUCACAUUCUAGACCAUGCAUAUUUAGUUAUGCAUGGUAAACAGUACUUGCAAAUGAAGAUGCUUUUAUUUUGCGCUUAUUAUUUUAGAGAUAGUACAUUGUUGCCUCAGAUGGUAAAAACCAAACAAAACUUGCCACUGUAUUCAAACUUAUUUUACUCCUACAUCUUUUUUCCUUCACUGAAAAUAUUCUUCACUAUAUCAAGUUUUUUCUUAUGAAACUAAUUCUUAAAUCUAGCAAUUAGAAAAACUUUCUGUGCUACUGGCUGGGCUUAUGACUGUAUGCUCCCUUCCACUCCACUCCCCAGGCAGAGUGGAAGGUCUCCCUGGAUGCACUACCUUCUCUCUGUAUCAAGGCUGAAUGUGGUCACUUGGCUCGUCUGCAUGCUUCAGAAGCUGGUUGCAUGCAUUCAGUUCUCCAACACCUUCCUUCAUGGGAAUGAAGUUUGGCAGAAGAAGGAAAUUUUCAGCCCAACCCACCAUGCAUGCAGAUAUGACCACCUAAAGAGGAUGCAUGCAGAUAUGACCACCUAAAGAGGUGUGACAAUGAGUAUAGAAAGCACCCUGUAGCCUGUAAACCAUAAAGUAAGUAUGGUUUCUAAGAUUAUGGGUGGACUGUAAUCUCUCCCCAGCCAGGUUUUAAUGGCCACCAACAGUGGAGCUGGCUUCCAGGCUGUGAAUAGAUUCAUGGAAGAUGAACAAAAACAAAUCAACAAAUCAACAACGACAACAGCAACAUCUGUGUAUACUAUAGAAGCAGAUUUGUAAUUAUUUUGUACAUUGGCUUAAUACUGAGAAAGAGACUGAAUAAUUAUUGCACUUCUGGCCAGUCUAUACUGUCUCCUGAUGAAGGACCCUCCAGCAACUUCAGGCUGAAAUGAAGCAGAUUCCCUCAGUCCCCACAAACUCUCAAAUAUGAGCAUCUGGAAAAAAAAAAAAAAGGGACAGGGACUGAGUCCCAGAGAUAUUCCCCAGGAACUCUCCCCAGUCUGUGGUGCAAUAUGUGGUCUGACCCAGCUGGACACCAGGCAGCACUUGGCCACCAGCCCUUCUGGCUGGACUCCUCCCCAAGGAAGCUGCACAAUUUCCUUGUGGAAGAAGUGUCUGAAGGCCACCCAUCGGGAGCAAAAUUUGAUGGAUGAAGAUUCUGUCUGUGAACAAGUAAUGAAAGUGAAGAUAAAUACACUGGAACUAUAGACAUUGAAAAAGUUAUCAAUGAAGCCCUCAUAUUCACCACCCUGUCCCUACAUAGGUUAUCCCUAAACCUCCGUAGACGGUAUCUGUUUUUCUGCCAUCAGAGUCUAUUUCCUGAAAUUUUGGAAAAAAAUGUACACAGAAUUCCUGCCUCCUCCAAAAUUCAGCACGUGUGUUCUGACAGACGCAGAGUCCCCAGCUGCCUGGCCACUGUGAAUACCUUUGAGCCAAUCAGAAUCAAAUACGUAUGUAUGGAAAGUUCUGCCACAGACACGGUUGUCCUUUCUCUCUGGCCCUUGGUUGGGAAUCACAGGCUGGAGCUACUCCUGUCAUCUUGCCACCCACCAUACGUAGCAACAUGGAUGUAUCUGAGAGAUAGAAAGAAACUAUAUCCUGGUGAUGUUGGAAUCCUGAUGAAGCUGUGCAUAAUCUCCCUUGCAGUUUACUUAGAAUAUGAGAAUGUUUUAGAUAUUUUCAAAUGAAAAUGCCUAAGAGUUUAAGUAUUAUUAUCUUGCCAGAUCCACGCACCCAGCCAAUGAUGAGAUUAGAGUAUAACAAUAUCUCCAUGUCUCCAAAGCCAUUUAUUUUCCAUGGAACCAUACUGUUUUUUUCCUGUGUGAGAAAGAAUGGAGUAUGACAACUCUAGAAUUACAUCUCUUGUGAAAUCUUUUAACAUGACCCACAAUUCCUUUUUCAAACUUCUUACAGGUUCAUCAUAUCAAAAGUUACAACUAUAUCAUCUGUCAAUCUCCCACAAGGAAAUGACACAAGCUCUCUAAUGAAAACAUUCUCUGAUGCCUUGCAAUUUUAGUUAUAGACCAUUCUGCACAAUGUCUCACAUACAUUUAUCUGGCUACAUUUUCAGUUUAGUGCUGUAUCUUCAGCCUCAUAUGUAAAACAUUUUCCUUACCCCUUGAAAACUGUAGCAAGGUCACAAAACUCAUGAAUUUAUUGUAAUAGUAAAAAAUGUUUUGCCCCCUGUUUUUAUCAGCAGGCCUCGUUUCUAACACUACAGAUGUGAAUCUUUGCCCUACUUGGAAAUUCUUGCCAGUUUCUUUGUCAUCCACCUUCAAUUAUUGGUUCGACAACUAGAUAUAGGACUAACAGAGACCACAUUACCUCUGGAUAUAAAAGAAAGUUCAUUUCCCUUUCAUUAUAUACUUCUUUUCAGGGUGAGAGAGGAAAUGUAUUAAAAUUACUUAGCUCCCUUAGAGAUAGCUAAAUUACUAUUAUUUCAACCUAAUAAUAAUAAUAAUAAUAAUAAUCAGACAAAACCAUUUUGUGUCUGAUCUACUGGAAUGUUU